AGAGUUUGAUCAUGGCUCAGGAUGAACGCUAGCGACAGGCUUAACACAUGCAAGUCGAGGGGCAGCGGGGAAGUAGCAAUACUUCCGCCGGCGACCGGCGCACGGGUGAGUAACACGUAUGGAACCUGCCCGUAGCAGGGGGAUAAGCGGAAGAAAUUCCGUCUAAUAUCGCGUAAUAACUCCGAGAGGCAUCUCCUGGGGUUUAAAGGGUAACACCGGCUACGGAUGGCCAUGCGGCGCAUUAGCUAGUUGGCGGGGUAACGGCCCACCAAGGCGACGAUGCGUAGGGGUUCUGAGAGGAAGGUCCCCCACACUGGUACUGAGACACGGACCAGACUCCUACGGGAGGCAGCAGUGAGGAAUAUUGGUCAAUGGGCGCGAGCCUGAACCAGCCAAGUCGCGUGAGGGAAGACGGUCCUAUGGAUUGUAAACCUCUUUUGUCGGGGAGCAAAAGACGCCACGUGUGGCGUUCCGAGAGUACCCGAAGAAAAAGCAUCGGCUAACUCCGUGCCAGCAGCCGCGGUAAUACGGAGGAUGCGAGCGUUAUCCGGAUUUAUUGG
RNAcentral lists this ribosomal RNA (560 nucleotides) under uncultured bacterium. RNAcentral describes it as "bacterial SSU rRNA". It matches the Rfam family "Bacterial small subunit ribosomal RNA", at positions 8 to 557 of the family's 1533-position model. The record is from RNAcentral.